UACGUAGGUGGCAAGCGUUGUCCGGAUUUAUUGGGCGUAAAGCGCGCGCAGGCGGUCCUUUAAGUCUGAUGUGAAAUCUUGCGGCUCAACCGCAAGCGGUCAUUGGAAACUGGGGGACUUGAGUGCAGAAGAGGAAAGCGGAAUUCCACGUGUAGCGGUGAAAUGCGUAGAGAUGUGGAGGAACACCAGUGGCGAAGGCGGCUUUCUGGUCUGUAACUGACGCUGAGGCGCGAAAGCGUGGGGAGCAAAC
RNAcentral lists this ribosomal RNA (250 nucleotides) under uncultured bacterium. RNAcentral describes it as "partial 16S ribosomal RNA". It matches the Rfam family "Bacterial small subunit ribosomal RNA", at positions 524 to 773 of the family's 1533-position model. The record is from RNAcentral. RNAcentral also lists the same sequence under 1 other name.